UACGGAGGGUGCAAACGUUGCUCGGAAUCACUGGGCGUAAAGCGCACGUAGGCGGCUCGAAAAGUCGGAUGUGAAAGCCCUGGGCUCAACCUAGGAAGUGCAUUCGAAACUGCCGAGCUUGAGUACGGGAGAGGGUUGCGGAAUUCCCGGUGUAGAGGUGAAAUGCGUAGAUAUCGGGAGGAACACCAGUGGCGAAGGCGGCAGCCUGGACCGAUACUGACGCUGAGGUGCGAAAGCGUGGGGAGCAAACAGG
This 253-nucleotide ribosomal RNA is filed under the name uncultured bacterium. RNAcentral's name for it is "partial 16S ribosomal RNA". It matches the Rfam family "Bacterial small subunit ribosomal RNA", at positions 524 to 776 of the family's 1533-position model. The record is from RNAcentral.